GUUAAUGUAGCUUAAUUAAAGCACAGGACUGAAGGCCCUGAGAUGGGUUGUAGAAGACCUCAAUAACA
RNAcentral lists this transfer RNA (68 nucleotides) under Monognathus jesperseni. RNAcentral describes it as "tRNA-Phe". It matches the Rfam family "tRNA". Rfam says of the family: Transfer RNA (tRNA) molecules are approximately 80 nucleotides in length. Their secondary structure includes four short double-helical elements and three loops (D, anti-codon, and T loops). Lineage: Eukaryota; Metazoa; Chordata; Actinopteri; Anguilliformes; Monognathidae. The record is from RNAcentral.